ACAUAUCCAGAGAAGCCUGAUUUCAGUUAGGCUCAUGAUCGCCGGCCUCUCCUUUGGAAAUUUUAUAUUCAUCUUAAGAGCAUGGUCAUUUUAAACUUUGUUGCAGUUAUUUGUCAUUAUUUUCUCCUGAACCCAUAUAUUUUGGUAGAGGAGAUGUUUGUUUGCUUUUCCGAUAUUGUAUGAUUGUAUGUGCUUAGGCAUCCUUGUUCCCUACAUGGAUGAGGAUAUUUGGGGUCUUUGUCCACCAAAACAGUUUUUUCAUUCAUUUCUGAAUGGAGAACUGCUUUUGGUUGGGAUGAGUAUGAUAAUUAGAUGUUCAAUUCAGUUGUUUAGGUUAUAUUUCACUUAAAAA
This 352-nucleotide unclassified non-coding RNA is filed under the name Hevea brasiliensis (rubber tree). Lineage: Eukaryota; Viridiplantae; Streptophyta; Magnoliopsida; Malpighiales; Euphorbiaceae. The record is from RNAcentral.